RNAcentral lists this ribosomal RNA (538 nucleotides) under Calathus colasianus. RNAcentral's name for it is "eukaryotic LSU rRNA". The record is from RNAcentral. Lineage: Eukaryota; Metazoa; Arthropoda; Insecta; Coleoptera; Carabidae.
UUCGAACGGGGAGAUUCAAUUGCCUCGCCGGUUAUGNCCAUUUAACAGUGAUGUGUUUAUGAUAUAUAUUUGAGACAUUAUAUGGCGGUUGCGGGUUUAUUCUCGUAGCUGUUUCUGUAUAGUGCUCCACUGUUUUAUGAUAUAUAGUUUAUAGCCGGAGGCGUGCACUUCUCCCCUUGUAGGACGUCGUGACCCAUUGGAUUAUGUUGUCUAAGGCUUAUAAUGGAGACCGUGGCAUUAAGUUUCGGCUUUAAUGACCCGGACUUAUAAUGUCCCGACAUCUAUCCGAUGGUAUAAUUAUGAUGAUAGAUCGCUAUAAAUGUGAUAUGAGCGUUCAGAUCCAUAACAAAUUCUUUAUAUGAUUGAUAAUAGUGGAAAUCGGAUUUAAUGCCGAUUCUACACAUAUGGUAUUGAUAGUUGUGGUAUUCUCGAACCGUUCUUUAUCAUCAGUCAACGGCGUUUAUGUUUUGGGUAAUUACAGGACCCGUCUUGAAACACGGACCAAKGAGUSUAGCAUGKKCGCAARUCAYUGGGWCUU